Long non-coding RNA from Melopsittacus undulatus (budgerigar), 352 nucleotides. The record is from Ensembl. NCBI's taxonomy places the organism in Eukaryota, Metazoa, Chordata, Aves, Psittaciformes, Psittaculidae.
CCUUCGCCCCGGAAAGGGAGAAGCGCCCCGCUUGUUGCAGCGGCCCAUGCUCCUCCCCCUGGCGCAGUGGUUCCGGAUAUCGCGGCGGCAGUGGCCGCGCCUGCGCAGUUACAGCUGAGGCGGGGAAACGUUGGCGGAGCCCGGGGCAGGAAGAGAAAGGCGACCGGAGGAGCCUUGACCCGGAAGCGGAAGUCGCGGCGCUGCGAUUUCCUGUUUCGCAAGGAGUGGUGGUGGAAGUUGCGCGUCGGGUCUAUACCGGCUUGAGGCACUGCUACAGGCAGCGCGGAAGGAUGCGGCGGGCAGAGAUGAAGCCUGGGAAAUCAUCACAUCCAAAGGAUUUACUUGGAGUAAA